UACGAAGGGGGCUAGCGUUGCUCGGAAUCACUGGGCGUAAAGCGCACGUAGGCGGAUUUUUAAGUCAGGGGUGAAAUCCUGGAGCUCAACUCCAGAACUGCCUUUGAUACUGGGAAUCUCGAGUCCGGAAGAGGUGAGUGGAACUGCGAGUGUAGUGGUGAAAUUCGUAGAUAUUCGCAAGAACACCAGUGGCGAAGGCGGCUCACUGGUCCGGUACUGACGCUGAGGUGCGAAAGCGUGGGGAGCAAACAGG
Molecule: ribosomal RNA, 253 nt
Filed under: uncultured bacterium
Lineage: Bacteria
Description: partial 16S ribosomal RNA
Rfam family: Bacterial small subunit ribosomal RNA
Source: RNAcentral